GACGAACGCUGGCGGCGUGCCUAACACAUGCAAGUCGAGCGGAGUCAGUAAGAGGAAGUUUUCGGAUGGAAUCUUAUUGAUUUAGCGGCGGACGGGUGAGUAACGCGUGAGCGACCAACCUUGCACAGGGGGAUAACGGACCGAAAGGUUCACUAAUACCGCAUGAGACCACGGUGUUGCAUGACACAGAGGUCAAAGGAGCAAUCCGGUGCAAGACGGGCUCGCGUCCGAUUAGGUAGUUGGAGGGGUAACGGCCCACCAAGCCUAUGAUCGGUAGCCGACCUGAGAGGGUGAUCGGCCACAUUGGGACUGAGAUACGGUCCAAACUCCUACGGGAGGCAGCAGUGGGGAAUAUUGGGCAAUGGGGGAAACCCUGGACCCAGCAACGCCGCGUGAAGGAAGAAGGUUUUCGGAUUGUAAACUUCUGUCCUUGGUGAAGAGAAGAAGACGGUAGCCAAGGAGGAAGCCCCGGCUAACUACGUG
RNAcentral lists this ribosomal RNA (483 nucleotides) under uncultured bacterium. RNAcentral's name for it is "bacterial SSU rRNA". It matches the Rfam family "Bacterial small subunit ribosomal RNA", at positions 28 to 507 of the family's 1533-position model. The record is from RNAcentral.